GACUGGAACUGAAUAAAAUUAUCUUUCGGCAAAUCGCUACGACUCUUCACGAGCAACCAUCAAAUGUGUUUUUUGUUGAACUCAUUGUAGAGCCCACGAUGAACUUGGAUAAAGUUUCGAUCGAUGCCUCCGUCGAGAAUUUGCUGUUCUGAAGAUUCCUAAUCGCAGCAACAGAGUCUUCAAUGGUAACAGCAUGUGCAACUUUUCCGAGGAGGUCAAGAAUGGUUUCUUUAAUUGACACCACACCAUUAUCACUUUUAGAGGUCCACUCUAGCCACGCCUUUUCUCUGUGGAAGUCACAAAGCAAUACCUUUGACCUUACAAAAUAAAAGGGGCAUAAAAAAGGUCAUAAUAUUUAUUGUAGUGUAAACUGAAAAGCCAGAAAGCAUUGUUGCAGUUGAGAGGAAUAAUAAUAUUCUGUAAUCAUCAUAGGCAGAGUGAUUUCCUACAUGGUUCUCAAGGGAAUUAAGUCAACAUACAAUGAUGCUCUUGUGAUGUACAUUUAAUGUUAGUGAAUGAAGAUUACUGUUAUAUGAAAAUAUAAUAAAUGUUUAUGCAAAAUAAAAUUACUGUUUACUAUG
Stylophora pistillata is the source of this 581-nucleotide long non-coding RNA. RefSeq lists it as uncharacterized. The record is from RefSeq and is a predicted model, not a curated record. NCBI's taxonomy places the organism in Eukaryota, Metazoa, Cnidaria, Anthozoa, Scleractinia, Pocilloporidae.